Molecule: non-coding RNA, 517 nt
Organism: Fukomys damarensis (Damara mole-rat)
Lineage: Eukaryota; Metazoa; Chordata; Mammalia; Rodentia; Bathyergidae
Source: the annotation of a RefSeq genome assembly
GACAGGUAAAACCACCAAUCAGGGCCAUGGAACUCAAUUCCAGCCCCCCUCACACAGGGUAUCCUAGUCAGAGGAUGCCCAUCUGAAAUCUGGCUGUACCAUGAGCUGCAGGCUUCUCUGCUGUGUGGUCCUCAGUCUCCUGGGGGCAGACCCCAUGAACACCAGAAUUAUCCAGACACCAAGACAUCUGGUCAUGGGGACAACGGGCAAGAAGUCUUUAACAUGUGAACAACAUCUGAACCACAAUGCCAUGUACUGGUAUAAACAGAAUGCAAAUAAGCCCCCUGAGCUCAUGUUUCUCUGCAACUUUCAGAAAGUGGUCCAAAAUGAGACUGUGCCUAGUCGCUUCUCACCUAAGUGCACAGACAGCUCUCACUUCUACCUUGACUUGACUGCCCUGGAACCACAAGACUCAGCAGUGUAUCUCUGUGCCAGCAGCCAAGACACAGCCCUGCACAGUCACUGUCUCCCUGUGCACAAACCUGUUGGUCCAACCAGAAGCUUUGGGGGCAAAUGA